GACGAACGCUGGCGGCGUGCUUAACACAUGCAAGUCGAACGAAGUGGUGAACGGGGGAGUAACGCGUAAUCAACCUGCCCUUCAGAGGGGGAUAACAGUUGGAAACGACUGCUAAUACCGCAUACGGAAGGAGGGGAUUGCGUCUGAUAAGCUAGUAGGAGGGGUAACGGCCAACCAAGGAGAAGAGAAGUAGCCGGUCUGAGAGGAUGAACGGCCACAUUGGGACUGAGAAACGGCCCAGACUCCUACGGGAGGCAGCAGUGGGGAAUCUUCCGCAAUGGACGAAAGUCUGACGGAGCAACGCCGCGUGAGUGAUGACGGCCUUCGGGUUGUAAAGCUCUGUUAAUCGGGACGCGGUACCGGAAUAGAAAGCCACGGCUAACUACGUGCCAGCAGGCGCGGUAAUAC
Molecule: ribosomal RNA, 408 nt
Filed under: uncultured bacterium
Lineage: Bacteria
Description: partial 16S ribosomal RNA
Rfam family: Bacterial small subunit ribosomal RNA
Source: RNAcentral